This 66-nucleotide transfer RNA is filed under the name Algoriphagus sp. RNAcentral describes it as "tRNA-Phe". It matches the Rfam family "tRNA", at positions 11 to 71 of the family's 71-position model. Rfam says of the family: Transfer RNA (tRNA) molecules are approximately 80 nucleotides in length. Their secondary structure includes four short double-helical elements and three loops (D, anti-codon, and T loops). The record is from RNAcentral. Lineage: Bacteria; Pseudomonadati; Bacteroidota; Cytophagia; Cytophagales; Cyclobacteriaceae.
CUCAGUUGGUAGAGCAUCGGACUGAAAAUCCGUGAGUCGGUGGUUCGAGUCCACUCAUCACCACCA